GAUGAAGAACGUAGCGAAAUGCGAUAAGUAGUGUGAAUUGCAGAAUUUCCGUGAGUCAUCGAAUCUUUGAACGCACAUUGCGCCCACUGGUAUUCCGGUGGGCAUGCCUGUUCGAGCGUCAUUAUCCUCCCUCAAACCCCGGGUUUGGUGUUGGACCCAAGUUGUGUGAACAACUGGUCUCAAAGACAAUGACGGCGUCCGUGGGACCCUCGGUGCAACGAGCUUUUAGGAGCACGCGCCGAGUUGCAAGGACCUUCCGGGCCGGUCUCCUUUACUAUUUUACAAGGUUGACCUCGGAUCAGGUAGGAAUACCCGCUGAACUUAAGCAUAUCAAUAAGCGGAGGA
This 345-nucleotide unclassified non-coding RNA is filed under the name soil metagenome. Its description in RNAcentral is "partial contains 5.8S ribosomal RNA, internal transcribed spacer 2, and large subunit ribosomal RNA". The stretch from base 1 to 121 matches the Rfam family "5.8S ribosomal RNA", at positions 35 to 154 of the family's 154-position model. The record is from RNAcentral.